GAAAUGCGAUAAGUAAUGUGAAUUGCAGAAUUCAGUGAAUCAUCGAAUCUUUGAACGCACAUUGCGCCCCCUGGUAUUCCGGGGGCAUGCCUGUUCGAGCGUCAUUUCACCACUCAAGCCUCGCUUGGUAUUGGGCAACGCGGUCCGCCGCGUGCCUCAAAUCGACCGGCUGGGUCUUCUGUCCCCUAAGCGUUGUGGAAACUAUUCGCUAAAGGGUGUUCGGGAGGCUACGCCGUAAAACAACCCCAUUUCUAAGGUUGACCUCGGAUCAGGUAGGGAUACCCGCUGAACUUAAGC
RNAcentral lists this unclassified non-coding RNA (297 nucleotides) under plant metagenome. Its description in RNAcentral is "partial contains 5.8S ribosomal RNA, internal transcribed spacer 2, and large subunit ribosomal RNA". The stretch from base 1 to 104 matches the Rfam family "5.8S ribosomal RNA", at positions 50 to 154 of the family's 154-position model. The record is from RNAcentral.